Osmia lignaria (orchard mason bee) is the source of this 805-nucleotide RNA transcript. It is a transcript of the gene named ribosomal protein S9, with no coding region annotated. NCBI's taxonomy places the organism in Eukaryota, Metazoa, Arthropoda, Insecta, Hymenoptera, Megachilidae. The record is from RefSeq and is a predicted model, not a curated record.
UUACGGGAAACAAGUUCGGCCAUUUCUCUUUUGGAACGUGGCGUGGUCGGUACUGCAACAGCAGUGGGUAACGACUGCGCAAAAUGGUGAACGGAAGGAUCCCAUCAGUUUUCUCGAAAACUUACGUUACUCCUAGAAGACCUUAUGAAAAGGCUCGUUUAGAUCAAGAAUUACGAAUUAUCGGUGAAUAUGGUCUUCGUAACAAGCGUGAAGUAUGGAGAGUAAAAUACACAUUGGCAAAUAUCCGUAAAGCCGCUCGUGAGCUUCUUACUUUGGAAGAAAAAGAUCCCAAACGUUUGUUCGAAGGAAAUGCUCUCUUGCGUCGUUUGGUGAGAAUCGGUGUAUUAGACGAGAGUCGUAUGAAACUCGAUUAUGUCCUUGGUUUGAAAAUUGAAGAUUUCUUGGAAAGACGACUUCAGACUCAAGUAUUCAAAUUGGGACUUGCCAAAUCUAUUCAUCAUGCUCGAGUAUUGAUUCGUCAACGCCAUAUACGAUUGUCUACUCAAAAUCAUAAAAGCAAUGCGACUUAAAAUGUUGGAUGAAGAGCUAUGAUGCUUAAGAAUCUACAAUACUUAAUUUGAAAGCUGUUUUCUUUCAGGCAGGCCACUUAAGUGUCCUAAUAUUGGCACUUAACGUCUGUUCGUAUAUUAAUGGAUACUUUAUGUAUAAAAACUAAUUGGGUUCGCAAGCAAGUUGUGAACAUUCCAUCUUUCAUCGUGCGUUUGGACUCGCAAAAGCACAUUGAUUUCUCACUGAAAUCUCCGUUCGGCGGUGGCAGACCUGGCCGUGUAAAGAGGAAGAAUUU